RNAcentral lists this ribosomal RNA (1501 nucleotides) under uncultured bacterium. RNAcentral's name for it is "bacterial SSU rRNA". It matches the Rfam family "Bacterial small subunit ribosomal RNA". The record is from RNAcentral.
AGAGUUUGAUCCUGGCUCAGGACGAACGCUGGCGGCGGGCCUAACACAUGCAAGUCGCGGGAGAAGCCAUCCCUUCGGGGACGGUGGAGACCGGCGGACGGGUGAGUAAUGCGUAGGCAAUCUGCCUUCAGGCGGGGGAUAACCCUCCGAAAGGGGAGCUAAUACCGCAUAAUGCAGCGGGGCCGCAUGGCCACAGUUGUUAAAGCUUUCGAGCGCCUGGAGAUGAGCCUACGUGCCAUUAGUUAGUUGGUGGGGUAACGGCCCACCAAGACGAUGAUGGCUAGCUGGUCUGAGAGGAUGAUCAGCCACACGGGGACUGAGACACGGCCCCGACUCCUACGGGAGGCAGCAGUGAGGAAUCUUGCGCAAUGGAGGAAACUCUGACGCAGCCACGCCGCGUGCAGGAAGACGGCCCUACGGGUUGUAAACUGCUUUUCUGGCCGAAGAACCCCUGGGUUUCGACCCGGGCUGACGGUAGGCCAGGAACAAGCACCGGCUAACUCCGUGCCAGCAGCCGCGGUAAUACGGAGGGUGCAAGCGUUGUCCGGAAUCAUUGGGUGUAAAGGGUGCGUAGGCGGGCGUCUAAGUCCGAGGUGAAAUCCUGCCGCUUAACGGCAGAAUGGCCUUGGAUACUGGGCGUCUUGAGUACAGUAGAGGCCGGUGGAAUUCGUAGUGUAGCGGUGAAAUGCAUAGAUAUUACGAAGAACACCAGUGGCGAAGGCGGCCGGCUGGGCUGUAACUGACGCUGAGGCACGAGAGCGUGGGGAGCGAACAGGAUUAGAUACCCUGGUAGUCCACGCCGUAAACGAUGUAUGCCAGGUGUUGUCCCUUCGGGGCCAGUGCUGCAGUUAACGCAUUAAGCAUACCACCUGGGGAGUACGUCCGCAAGGAUGAAACUCAAAGGAAUUGACGGGGGCCCGCACAAGCGGUGGAGCAUGUGGCUUAAUUCGAUGCAACGCGAAGAACCUUACCCAGGCUAAAUCCAUCUUGACCGCUCCUGAAAGGGAGUUUCCCUUCGGGGCAGGAUGGAAGGUGCUGCAUGGCUGUCGUCAGCUCGUGCCGUGAGGUGUUGGGUUAAGUCCCGCAACGAGCGCAACCCCUGUGGCUAGUUACCAGCGUGUAAUGGCGGGGACUCUAGCCAGACUGCCUACGCAAGUAGUGAGGAAGGUGGGGAUGACGUCAAGUCAUCAUGGCCCUUACGUCUGGGGCUGCACACGUGCUACAAUGGACGGUACAAAGGGAAGCUACCUCGCAAGGGGAUGCAGAUCUCGAAAGCCGUUCCCAGUUCGGAUUGCAGUCUGCAACUCGACUGCAUGAAGUUGGAAUCGCUAGUAAUCGCGUAUCAGCAAUGACGCGGUGAAUACGUUCCCGGGCCUUGUACACACCGCCCGUCAAGCGAUGGAAGUGGGGAGUACCUGACGUCGCCGCGCCAAUCCCGAUUUAUCGGGAAGGCAGGCGCCUAGGGUAAGCCUCAUGACUGGCGCUAAGUCGUAACAAGGUA